GCCGUCGUGGGCCAUGGAGGCCACCCCCUUACCAUUCCAGAACUUCCCAAAGUGAACGGGGCUAACGGAGGUUCGAUUCCUCCCGACGGCA
This is a non-coding RNA of Mycena polygramma, 91 nucleotides long. The record is from the annotation of a GenBank genome assembly. Lineage: Eukaryota; Fungi; Basidiomycota; Agaricomycetes; Agaricales; Mycenaceae.